AGCGAACGCUGGCGGCAGGCUUAACACAUGCAAGUCGAGCGGGCGUAGCAAUACGUCAGCGGCAGACGGGUGAGUAACGCGUGGGAACGUACCUUUUGGUUCGGAACAACACAGGGAAACUUGUGCUAAUACCGGAUAAGCCCUUACGGGGAAAGAUUUAUCGCCGAAAGAUCGGCCCGCGUCUGAUUAGCUAGUUGGUGUGGUAACGGCGCACCAAGGCGACGAUCAGUAGCUGGCUGAGAGGACGAUCAGCCACAUUGGGACUGAGACACGGCCCAAACUCCUACGGGAGGCAGCAGUGGGGAAUAUUGGACAAUAGGCGCAAGCCUGAUCCAGCCAUGCCGCGUGAGUGAUGAAGGCCUUAGGGUUGUAAAGCUCUUUUACCUGGGAAGAUAAUGACGGUACCAGGAGAAUAAGCCCCGGCUAACUUCGUGCCAGCAGCCGCAGUAAC
This 451-nucleotide ribosomal RNA is filed under the name uncultured bacterium. RNAcentral describes it as "bacterial SSU rRNA". It matches the Rfam family "Bacterial small subunit ribosomal RNA", at positions 29 to 524 of the family's 1533-position model. The record is from RNAcentral.